This 253-nucleotide ribosomal RNA is filed under the name uncultured bacterium. RNAcentral's name for it is "partial 16S ribosomal RNA". It matches the Rfam family "Bacterial small subunit ribosomal RNA", at positions 524 to 776 of the family's 1533-position model. The record is from RNAcentral.
UACGUAGGGGGCAAGCGUUGUCCGGAAUUAUUGGGCGUAAAGCGCGCGCAGGCGGUUUUUUAAGUCUGGGGUUUAAGUUCGGGGCUCAACCCCGUAUCGCCCUGGAAACUGGGAGACUUAGAGUGCAGGAGAGGAAAGUGGAAUUCCACGUGUAGCGGUGAAAUGCGUAGAGAUGUGGAGGAACACCAGUGGCGAAGGCGACUUUCUGGCCUGUAACUGACGCUGAGGCGCGAAAGCGUGGGGAGAAAACAGG